UUAGAUUGUAGAGAAAAAUGUAUGCAUUAGUGAAAUAUACUGAUGUAUAUUAUGUAUGUAAUUCGAAAUAUAUUACAAGGAAAAAAGAUGAGAAAGGUUACUUAUAAGGAUGAUCGUAGGUAUCCAGCAAGCAUUAUUGUAAAACACGAUAAUAAAAUGUUAUUAGAAGAAGCUAAACGAAGUAUUGCAAUAAGUGAACCACGUAUAUUAUUGGACAAAUUACUUCACAUAUUGAAUAUUGAGAACAAUAAUAUCAACAAGUAACUUGAAAAGCAAAAGACUGAUACAAAUAGAAACUGUGAUUAUAUGUAGUCAAAUGAUAUAAUCGAAAAAGUACAAUUAACCUAACAAAUGUCACAUAUAAAAAGGGUCUUAAGUAUGCAGCAAGUGUUAUUGCAAACAUGAAGAAGCAAGGCAUGACGUUAAAAUAGAUGUACCACAUAUAUUAUUGGACAAACCACUUCAAAUAUUGGGUAUUGAGAACAAUGAUUAAUAAUAUAACUCAUAUCAUUGAUAAAGAAAGCAAAAAAUUGAUAUAAAUACAGAUGGUGAGAUUCUUACAUUAAAUGUUGAUAUAACUUCUGUCAUAAAGGCUAAUGUUCUUAAUAUAAAUAAUAAUGUUUCUGAACUAAAUGUAAUUAU
Linepithema humile (Argentine ant) is the source of this 642-nucleotide long non-coding RNA. RefSeq lists it as uncharacterized. Lineage: Eukaryota; Metazoa; Arthropoda; Insecta; Hymenoptera; Formicidae. The record is from RefSeq and is a predicted model, not a curated record.